UGCAGUCGACGGCAGCACGGAGCUUGCUCUGGUGGCGAGUGGCGAACGGGUGAGUAAUAUAUCGGAACGUACCCUAGAGUGGGGGAUAACGUAGCGAAAGUUACGCUAAUACCGCAUACGAUCUAAGGAUGAAAGUGGGGGAUCGCAAGACCUCAUGCUCGUGGAGCGGCCGAUAUCUGAUUAGCUAGUUGGUAGGGUAAAAGCCUACCAAGGCAUCGAUCAGUAGCUGGUCUGAGAGGNACGACCNAGCCNACACUGGAACUGAGACACGGUNCCAGACUCCUACGGGAGGCAGCAGUGGGGAAUUUUGGACAAUGGGCGAAAGCCUGAUCCAGCAAUGCCGCGUGAGUGAAGAAGGCCUUCGGGUUGUAAAGCUCUUUUGUCAGGGAAGAAACGGUGAGAGCUAAUAUCUYUUGCUAAUGACGGUACCUGAAGAAUAAGCACCGGCUAACUACGUGCCAGCAGCCGCGGUAAUACGUAGGGUGCAAGCGUUAAUCGGAAUUACUGGGCGUAAAGCGUGCGCAGGCGGUUUUGUAAGUCUGAUGUGAAAUCCCCGGGCUCAACCUGGGAAUUGCAUUGGAGACUGCAAGGCUAGAAUCUGGCAGAGGGGGGUAGAAUUCCACGUGUAGCAGUGAAAUGCGUAGAUAUGUGGAGGAACACCGAUGGCGAAGGCAGCCCCCUGGGUCAAGAUUGACGCUCAUGCACGAAAGCGUGGGGAGCAAACAGGAUUAGAUACCCUGGUAGUCCACGCCCUAAACGAUGUCUACUAGUUGUCGGGUCUUAAUUGACUUGGUAACGCAGCUAACGCGUGAAGUAGACCGCCUGGGGAGUACGGUCGCAAGAUUAAAACUCAAAGGAAUUGACGGGGACCCGCACAAGCGGUGGAUGAUGUGGAUUAAUUCGAUGCAACGCGAAAAACCUUACCUACCCUUGACAUGGCUGGAAUCCUUGAGAGAUUGAGGAGUGCUCGAAAGAGAACCAGUACACAGGUGCUGCAUGGCUGUCGUCAGCUCGUGUCGUGAGAUGUUGGGUUAAGUCCCGCAACGAGCGCAACCCUUGUCAUUAGUUGCUACGAAAGGGCACUCUAAUGAGACUGCCGGUGACAAACCGGAGGAAGGUGGGGAUGACGUCAAGUCCUCAUGGCCCUUAUGGGUAGGGCUUCACACGUCAUACAAUGGUACAUACAGAGCGCCGCCAACCCGCGAGGGGGAGCUAAUCGCAGAAAGUGUAUCGUAGUCCGGAUUGUAGUCUGCAACUCGACUGCAUGAAGUUGGAAUCGCUAGUAAUCGCGGAUCAGCAUGU
This 1302-nucleotide ribosomal RNA is filed under the name Janthinobacterium sp. 236. RNAcentral describes it as "bacterial SSU rRNA". It matches the Rfam family "Bacterial small subunit ribosomal RNA", at positions 56 to 1357 of the family's 1533-position model. The record is from RNAcentral. Lineage: Bacteria; Pseudomonadati; Pseudomonadota; Betaproteobacteria; Burkholderiales; Oxalobacteraceae.